This 209-nucleotide long non-coding RNA is filed under the name Mytilus galloprovincialis (Mediterranean mussel). Lineage: Eukaryota; Metazoa; Mollusca; Bivalvia; Mytilida; Mytilidae. The record is from RNAcentral.
GGGGGCCUCUAACAAUUUUGAUCAUGUUGACUUAUUUGUAGAUCUUACUUUGCUGAACAUUAUUGCUGUUUACAGUUUAUCUCUAUCUAUAAUAGUAAUCAAGAUAAUAACCAAAAACUGCAAAAUUUCCUUAAAAUUACCAAUUUUAGGGCAGCAACCCAACAACGGGUUGUCGGAUUCAUCUGAAAAUGUGUAAGGGGAUAGAUCUU